This 460-nucleotide ribosomal RNA is filed under the name uncultured bacterium. RNAcentral describes it as "partial 16S ribosomal RNA". It matches the Rfam family "Bacterial small subunit ribosomal RNA", at positions 338 to 795 of the family's 1533-position model. The record is from RNAcentral.
CCUACGGGGAGCAGCAGUGAGGAAUAUUGGUCAAUGGACGCAAGUCUGAACCAGCCAUGCCGCGUGCAGGAAGACGGCUCUAUGAGUUGUAAACUGCUUUUGUACGAGGGUAAACGCAGAUACGCGUAUCUUUCUGAAAGUAUCGUACGAAUAAGGAUCGGCUAACUCCGUGCCAGCAGCCGCGGUAAUACGGAGGAUUCAAGCGUUAUCCGGAUUUAUUGGGUUUAAAGGGUGCGUCGGCGGUUGGUUAAGUAAGAGGUGAAAUCCCGCGGCUCAACUUCGGAAUUGCCUUUGAUACUGUUAGGCUAGAGAGCAGUUGAGGUAGGCGGAAUGCAUGGUGUAGCGGUGAAAUGCUUAGAGAUCAUAAAGAACACCGAUUGCGAAGGCAGCUUACCAAGCUAUGUCUGACGUUGAGGCACGAAAGCGUGGGGAGCAAACAGGAUUAGAUACCCCUGUAGUC